Long non-coding RNA from Triticum urartu, 1239 nucleotides. RefSeq lists it as uncharacterized. Lineage: Eukaryota; Viridiplantae; Streptophyta; Magnoliopsida; Poales; Poaceae. The record is from RefSeq and is a predicted model, not a curated record.
CUGGCACUUACUCGCACUUCACACAUAAAAAACUGAGGACGUGCCUAGGUGGGGCCUGAAGGAAACGCCCAUCACUUAUCUCUUUACACGGCGGAUCCGUCCUCCACUCAUCCUCCUCUCAGUCUAUCUCUUUUCUCUUCUCCUCCAUUAAAUUUCUCAACACCGCACGACGAGCUCGUCCAUGUCUCCGCUGACGGCGCAGCCAUCUGCUGCUGCUCCGACCGGGAGACACUGCGAGCCUGGGUCAGGCGUUGGAGCUCUGUAGCUGGUUAACCCCUUCCCUGCCCACGCUACAAGGGGGAAGCACCUUAGUGCAAGGAAGACGACGAGGCCCGGCGGCCGGGGAGCAGCCGGCCGGAGAUGUUUCAACCGGCGGGGUCGGCGGAGAGUGGGGAUUUCAUAGCGAAGCUACAACAGCGACGGUGGUGACGAAAUUUUGCUACAUCCAUUGCCAGAUUUUGCUACGACGGGCGAGAUUUUUUGAUACAAUGAUUUUAUGGUGAAGCUGCAAUCGCAAUGGCAGUGACGAAGUUUUACUGCAUCCGUCGUCGGAUUUUGUUGGAAGCUACAACCGCCUGCCAGCGAUGCUGGAACCGGCAGUGCGAGGAGCUGCGAGCGGCACACGUCGAUGCUACAACCGCCUGGGCGUGAAGCUACGACCCCCAGCAUCCUUUGCUGGAAGCGGUCACCGGCGAUGCUACAACCUUCAUCGACGGAUGCUACAACCGUCAACGACAAGAGCUACAAGCAGCGAUGGCGAGAUAGAACGUCGUGAUCAUGGAGUCGAUUUUGCUGGGAUGGUGGACGGCAGUGGUGGCGGAGCUGCAACGACGACCGGGGGCGGAGAUGCAAUGGUGUGCCCUCCUAUUGGAACCACGGGGCGCUCGGGCACAACGGCGGAGACGUCGCGCGUGACGACGGCGGCUUGUUGCGGCGCGCCGACACGAGCAACCGACGACAAGCACGGCCACAGGGCGGCCGAGGAGCGUUUGCUGCGCGGCCAUGCGGGAGGCCAACGAGCGCGGAUGAAGACGAGUGGUUGCGCUGGGCUCUAUCCUCUUUCAUUUUUUUUUCUUUUUUUGCUUUUCCUGUGAGAUGAACGAAGGAACCUAUGGUUAAAAAGUGGCGUAUCCUAUGGUAGCGCAGCAACCGGCCCAAAUUUGGGCCGGUGCGCCGGCGCGUAUCACUCGCCAUAUAAGAAAAUACAUGUGUGCUAGCCUCGUACUUGGUAUAUCCUUC